UCCCCCACACACACGGUGCAGAAGCACACCGACUGAGGAUUCAACGUGCAGAGGAUCUGCUUCGGUAAAAUCAAGAAUACCAGUUGAUGACUGCUGUGCAGUGGAAAUAGAGGAUCUACUUAGAUAAAUUCAAGAUGAAUGUAGAAAAUU
Long non-coding RNA from Sinocyclocheilus grahami, 150 nucleotides. RefSeq lists it as uncharacterized. The transcript has 3 exons. Lineage: Eukaryota; Metazoa; Chordata; Actinopteri; Cypriniformes; Cyprinidae. The record is from RefSeq and is a predicted model, not a curated record.